This 439-nucleotide long non-coding RNA is filed under the name Oryza sativa Indica Group (long-grained rice). RNAcentral describes it as "lncRNA OsMH63_04G020920". Lineage: Eukaryota; Viridiplantae; Streptophyta; Magnoliopsida; Poales; Poaceae. The record is from RNAcentral.
AUGGCAUGGGUGUGGAUGACGGACGACGCGGUCACCGGCGACGAGCUCCGACGCGGCCGCCCCCGACGAACCCCCGGCAUCGCGGACUCCGGCGACGAGCUUCAGCCGACGUGGUCGCCGGAUUGCUGCCUGGAGCUCCAGCACCACCACCCGCCAUCCACAGCGCCGCCGUUAACACCCACCUCCGGCUCCAUCCGCGUGGCCAGCCGAUGCGCCCUCUGCCAGCGCCCCAACUCUGUCGCGGGCCCUCUCCAGUCGUCGCCUUCGUCGCUGGCCGUCAAUCCCGCUGCGAGUCCAGGCCUUCAUCUUAUCCAUCUACUGCUUCGGGGGAGCAAAGAGACAAGAUGGGGUGCAAAGAGCUUGUUGACCUGGUCAUGGUUGGCUGUGGAGUGUGGUAGAAUCAUCUUCUACAUGGUAAGAAUCGCAUGAUACGUGAUAG